ACACUCCUGCGGGAGGCAGCAGUGGGGAAUUUUACGCAAUGGGGGAAACCCUGACGUAGCGACACCGCGUGAGCGAAGAAGCCCUUUGGGGUGUAAAGCUCUGUCAGCUGGAACGAAAACAAUGACGGUACCAGCAGAGGAAGCAUCGGCUAACUACGUGCCAGCAGCCGCGGUAAGACGUAGGAUGCGAGCGUUGUCCGGAUUUAUUGGGCGUAAAGAGUUCGUAGGUGGUUUGUUAAGUUUGGUGUUAAAGAUCGGGGCUCAACCCUGGGACUGCACUGAAUACUGGCAGACUCGAGUGUGGUAGAGGCUAGUGGAAUUCCCAGUGUAGCGGUGAAAUGCGUAGAUAUUGGGAAGAACACCGGUGGCGUAGGCGACUAGCUGGGCCAUAACUGACGCUGAGGAACGAAAGCCAGGGGAGCGAAUGGGAUUAGAAACCCUGGUAGUCCCAUGA
This 454-nucleotide ribosomal RNA is filed under the name uncultured organism. Its description in RNAcentral is "partial 16S ribosomal RNA". It matches the Rfam family "Bacterial small subunit ribosomal RNA", at positions 333 to 804 of the family's 1533-position model. The record is from RNAcentral.